GAUUUAGUGUUGAUAGGAACUAGUAUAAGAUUUGCUUUGUUUUUAGAGAGCUGGUGGUUGCUGAAAACCAGUCAAAGCUGUCUUAGAAUCCAUCCUGGAGCUAGCUAGUAGAACGUAUUGAGUAGAUAUGGAAACUAGUUCGGUAAGAGGCCGUUAUCUCUUUUAAGCUGGCAUUGUCUUCGUGAACAAUGCAAUUUGGGUGGCAACGCGGGUAUAAAAUAACUCGUCCCUUUU
Molecule: non-coding RNA, 234 nt
Filed under: Alkalihalobacillus pseudalcaliphilus
Lineage: Bacteria; Bacillati; Bacillota; Bacilli; Caryophanales; Bacillaceae
Description: Bacillus pseudalcaliphilus T-box sequence
Rfam family: T-box leader
About the family: Uncharged tRNA acts as the effector for transcription antitermination of genes in the T-box leader family.
Source: RNAcentral